AUUGAACGCUGGCGGCAUGCUUUACACAUGCAAGUCGAACGGUAACAGCACUUCGGUGGCUGACGAGUGGCGAACGGGUGAGUAACACAUCGGAACGUGCCUAGUAGUGGGGGAUAACUACUCGAAAGAGUAGCUAAUACCGCAUGAGAUCUAAGGAUGAAAGCAGGGGACCUUCGGGCCUUGCGCUACUAGAGCGGCUGAUGGCAGAUUAGGUAGUUGGUGGGAUAAAAGCUUACCAAGCCGACGAUCUGUAGCUGGUCUGAGAGGACGACCAGCCACACUGGGACUGAGACACGGCCCAGACUCCUACGGGAGGCAGCAGUGGGGAAUUUUGGACAAUGGGCGCAAGCCUGAUCCAGCAAUGCCGCGUGCAGGAUGAAGGCCUUCGGGUUGUAAACUGCUUUUGUACGGAACGAAAAGCCCUCUUCUAAUACAGGAGGGUCAUGACGGUACCGUAAGAAUAAGCACCGGCUAACUACGUG
This 482-nucleotide ribosomal RNA is filed under the name uncultured bacterium. RNAcentral describes it as "partial 16S ribosomal RNA". It matches the Rfam family "Bacterial small subunit ribosomal RNA", at positions 30 to 507 of the family's 1533-position model. The record is from RNAcentral.